GCCCGUCUAGCUCAGCCGGUAGAGCGCAAGGCUCUUAACCUUGUGGUCGUGGGUUCGAGCCCCACGGUGGGCG
Vitis vinifera (wine grape) is the source of this 73-nucleotide transfer RNA. It matches the Rfam family "tRNA". Rfam says of the family: Transfer RNA (tRNA) molecules are approximately 80 nucleotides in length. Their secondary structure includes four short double-helical elements and three loops (D, anti-codon, and T loops). Lineage: Eukaryota; Viridiplantae; Streptophyta; Magnoliopsida; Vitales; Vitaceae. The record is from Rfam.